CUACGGGAGGCAGCAGUGGGGAAUUUUGGACAAUGGGCGCAAGCCUGAUCCAGCAAUGCCGCGUGCAGGAAGAAGGCCUUCGGGUUGUAAACUGCUUUUGUACGGAACGAAACGGCGAGCUCUAAUACAGUUUGCUAAUGACGGUACCGUAAGAAUAAGCACCGGCUAACUACGUGCCAGCAGCCGCGGUAAUACGUAGGGUGCAAGCGUUAAUCGGAAUUACUGGGCGUAAAGCGUGCGCAGGCGGUUUUGUAAGACAGUCGUGAAAUCCCCGGGCUCAACCUGGGAAUUGCGAUUGUGACUGCAAAGCUGGAGUGCGGCAGAGGGGGAUGGAAUUCCGCGUGUAGCAGUGAAAUGCGUAGAUAUGCGGAGGAACACCGAUGGCGAAGGCAAUCCCCUGGGCCUGCACUGACGCUCAUGCACGAAAGCGUGGGGAGCAAACAGGAUUAGAUACCCUGGUAGUCCACGCCCUAAACGAUGUCAACUGGUUGUUGGGUCUCUUCUGA
This 506-nucleotide ribosomal RNA is filed under the name uncultured bacterium. RNAcentral describes it as "bacterial SSU rRNA". It matches the Rfam family "Bacterial small subunit ribosomal RNA", at positions 339 to 836 of the family's 1533-position model. The record is from RNAcentral.